CUUCCUGCAGUCGAACGGCAGCACGGGGGCAACCCUGGUGGCGAGUGGCGAACGGGUGAGUAAUACAUCGGAACGUGCCCAGUCGUGGGGGAUAACUACGCGAAAGCGUAGCUAAUACCGCAUACGAUCUACGGAUGAAAGCGGGGGAUCGCAAGACCUCGCGCGAUUGGAGCGGCCGAUGGCAGAUUAGGUAGUUGGUGGGGUAAAGGCUCACCAAGCCGUCGAUCUGUAGCUGGUCUGAGAGGACGACCAGCCACACUGGGACUGAGACACGGCCCAGACUCCUACGGGAGGCAGCAGUGGGGAAUUUUGGACAAUGGGCGCAAGCCUGAUCCAGCCAUUCCGCGCGCAGGAUGAAGGCCUUCGGGUUGUAAACUGCUUUUGUACGGAACGAAAAGCCUUUCUCCAAUACAGAGAGGUCAUGACGGUACCGUAAGAAUAAGCACCGGCUAACUACGUGCCAGCAGCCGCGGUAAUACGUAGGGUGCAAGCGUUAAUCAGAAUUACUGGGCGUAAAGCGUGCGCAGGCGGUGAUGUAAGACAGUUGUGAAAUCCCCGGGCUCAACCUGGGAACUGCAUCUGUGACUGCAUCGCUGGAGUGCGGCAGAGGGGGAUGGAAUUCCGCGUGUAGCAGUGAAAUGCGUAGAUAUGCGGAGGAACACCGAUGGCGAAGGCAAUCCCCUGGGCCUGCACUGACGCUCAUGCACGAAAGCGUGGGGAGCAAACAGGAUUAGAUACCCUGGUAGUCCACGCCCUAAACGAUGUCAACUGGUUGUUGGGUCUUCACUGACUCAGUAACGAAGCUAACGCGUGAAGUUGACCGCCUGGGGAGUACGGCCGCAAGGUUGAA
RNAcentral lists this ribosomal RNA (850 nucleotides) under uncultured bacterium. Its description in RNAcentral is "bacterial SSU rRNA". It matches the Rfam family "Bacterial small subunit ribosomal RNA", at positions 51 to 898 of the family's 1533-position model. The record is from RNAcentral.